This 253-nucleotide ribosomal RNA is filed under the name uncultured bacterium. Its description in RNAcentral is "partial 16S ribosomal RNA". It matches the Rfam family "Bacterial small subunit ribosomal RNA", at positions 524 to 776 of the family's 1533-position model. The record is from RNAcentral.
UACGUAGGGGGCAAGCGUUGUCCGGAUUUAUUGGGCGUAAAGAGCGUGUAGGCGGCUUUACAGGUCCGUUGUGAAAACUCGAGGCUCAACCUCGAGACGCCGGUGGAAACCGUAAAGCUAGAGUCCGGAAGAGGAGAGUGGAAUUCCUGGUGUAGCGGUGAAAUGCGCAGAUAUCAGGAGGAACACCGAUGGCGAAGGCAGGUCUCUGGGCUGACACUGACGCUCAUGCACGAAAGCGUGGGGAGCAAACAGG